Long non-coding RNA from Brassica oleracea var. oleracea, 1200 nucleotides. RefSeq lists it as uncharacterized. The record is from RefSeq and is a predicted model, not a curated record. NCBI's taxonomy places the organism in Eukaryota, Viridiplantae, Streptophyta, Magnoliopsida, Brassicales, Brassicaceae. The transcript has 6 exons.
GACCUAUCUCCUAAGCAUCUAUCAAUACGACUCUUCCACUUCGUCUUCUACGUCUCCAUUUACUGUAGAAGUCGUAACAGACCCCCCUGAUCAAUCAAUGAUGCUCUUCAAUCCCCCUUUGAUGGUUUCGUUCCACCUCUCCUUCGUUCUCCACCUAUAUAAAUCACUACAUCUAAACCUAAAUUCAGACAAAAUCGGAAACUUCCACAGAAAGAGAUCACGCCUAAAUCAAACGGAAAGUGUGUUCAUGAAGGAGAAGAUAAUUUGAGUUAUAUUUAGUUUUGUACAGCAUCAUCUUUCACAGUGCCUUGACCAAGACAUGAACCAAGAUCGGUUGAUCUCAUGGAGCCAACAUAACCAAACUGAUAAAGAGGAAAGAAGGCUGAUCAUACAGGCCUUCCAGCGCAAUUGCCUCCGGCGCCGUCGUCUUCUCUGAGUCUUCCUUGGAUUCAUCUUUAGAUUCCUGUUGUGUUGGAGUUUAUGCCUUUUGAAACUUCCUCUAAGCAUCUCUUCCACUGUAAGGGAUAUCAAGCCAAUGAGUGGGCGAGGAGGGUGAGAGCGGAUUGCGGCAACAAAGAUCGCGUUUGAACUAUUCUUUGGUCAAUAUGCUGUUGUUUCUUUUGAGAUUGUUCGAGUUUAUCUCUAUCUUCGAAAGUGGUUGUGUUGCUAACCAUGGCGUACGUCUUUCUUGGAGUGUACAGCGAAGGCAGCAGUGGUAGGGUUGACCAGUGUGGAAUUCCAGAAAGGCCUCUCGAUUGUGAACCUUUAUAUAGAGGAUAAAGUUGCUCAUGAUUUCUGAAACAACACACGCUUCUUCUUCUUAAUCCUCAAAGAUGAAUCUACCAAGUCUCCUCUCCAGAUAUGUGAUGUUUGAUCGAUCACCAAUCACCAUCCUAUUUCUCCAGAUGGGCGUGCUUGAUGGCCAUUAGUGAAGCUCUGUCAAGAGAACGACUGUAGUGGAAAAUGAAUUGUUGAAUGAGUACGAAGGUGGUGGUUGUUACGCGAAAUCAUAUAGAACUAUAUACUUCAAAUGUAUUUAUUUUUAGUUUUAUCUAUGUUCUAAGUUUAGUUAUCUAAUUAUUUAAUUUUAUUGUGUAUAUCAUGCUUAUCUAGCAUGUUUGAUGGCUUGUAACACAGUUUUAUUUAUUUGUUAUAUUUAAUAUUUCUCAUUGAUCAUAUAUAAAAAAUACAUAAUUUCUA